AUUGCAGAUGGCUUCUCAAAACCUUGAACAAAAUUUUAGGAAAAGACAUUCAGCAUCCUCCAGCAAGAAUGAACUCAAGAAAAAGGCACAUAAAUAUCAAGCAUACAAAGUCAGAGAGUAACAAGUGUUAACAGUUAUACUGUCAAACAAAACAGAAGGAUCCCAACCCCAUUAGUCUCAUUCAAAACCUCAUAAGAACAGGCAGGCAGGCAAGGAAUCAUGUAAAAACUGAUUCCAAACAAAACAAGCAUUAAGAAUGACCAUCACAUUCCCAAAAAAUUUGCAGAUAUCAUAUUUAAG
RNAcentral lists this unclassified non-coding RNA (300 nucleotides) under Hevea brasiliensis (rubber tree). The record is from RNAcentral. Lineage: Eukaryota; Viridiplantae; Streptophyta; Magnoliopsida; Malpighiales; Euphorbiaceae.